Triticum urartu is the source of this 1587-nucleotide non-coding RNA. NCBI's taxonomy places the organism in Eukaryota, Viridiplantae, Streptophyta, Magnoliopsida, Poales, Poaceae. The record is from RefSeq and is a predicted model, not a curated record.
UUACAUCUAAUUGGAUAUAUAUAUAGGAUGGGUCUAUUCUAACAACACCCUUAAGACCUUAUUCUGCACACAAAAAUGUCUUAUUCUACUAACACCUCCUGACUCACACCUACAAACAAAGGCAACGAAUCCACCGGUCACCCCCUACACACGCACGAAUCCCGGCCCCGAUCCCCUCCACCUUCGCCCAACACACCCCCACCUAACUCACUACCUCCCAUGGCCGGCGUGCCAGCAACCCCCUCCCACCGGCCGCCGCCGUGCCCCCACCCCUCUACCUUUCUUCGACCACCGCCCUCGGUGCUUCACCUUCCCCCAACCCCACGCCCCACCUUCUACGCCGGCCGCCACCCUCCCCCCUCUUUCUUCAGUGCCACCCACAGUAGUGGCGAGAUCCGCCGCCACCGGGCCCCGGUGUGGCUUCAACCACCGGAUCCGGCCACCACGGCCCCCCGGCGCAGCCACAACCGCCGGAUCCGGCCACCACCGGCCCACGACGACGCAUUCAACCACCAGAUUCCGGCCGCCACCGGCCCCCGACGCACCUUGAAACCACCAGAAUCGGCCGUGACGGCCAUGGGUGCGGCAACCAGCCCCCCAUCUUCCCUUGGGCGGCUGUGAACUUCAUCUCCAUCACCGACGAGCCUCCCCUCUCCUCUGGCCGGAUUACAGCAAUCUCCACCGUGCCAUGGCCUGUCUUGCGCUGGCUUCGGCCGCCGAGGCCACUGGAUCCAUGGCAAGUGGAUCCCGUGCGUGCUAGAUCCGGCUAUGGUGCGCCCCUCCACUCCAUGCAGUUCUCUUCCCGUGAGGCUCGCCGUUCUCAAUCCCGAGCUCCAGGGCUCCUCAAUGACGACUCCGAAGAACAACCGUGGCCACCUGGAGGCGCAGAAAGGAGGGCAACAGCAGCGCCGCCGUGGACGGCCGGAGUCCUGCUCCUCCCCUUGUUCUCGUCCUUGUCUGCGUUCAGGCGCGGCUAUCAGCGUCGGCCGAUGCGGGUGUCACGUGCAGCUCGGCCCAUGGGGACGAGAAGUACGUCCCACUGGACAGCGCUGUAUUGUGUGGAAUCCUAGUACUGGACUGGCUUGGUCUUUCAAUGAGCUCCACAGGUCGUCCGCCGACGAGAUCCUCUGCUCACUGUUGUUCCCCACCUGAUGUCGAGCAGUGCAUGUUGCUUCUCAUUGCAGCUCGGUUGGGUCGCCGGUGCAGUACACAGGCACGUGAGAGGACGACGGGCAUGUAGUUUGGUUUCGGCUGUGCGUUGCUCCGGUAUGGAUGUGCGCGUCAUGCGUUUUACUCGACUGUGCGAAGAAGGUUCUUGGAGUCCCUCGGCGUGCAGUUUCGACAGCGGCUCGUCAGCUUGUCCCGUGUUUUACAGUUGGUGCCUCUGCGUGUGCAUUUUAGUAGUUGGCCGCCCCGUGUAGUUUAGUUAAUGUGUGUGUAUCUACAAAGAAGGAUUUUGUUUUUGAGCAUGUACCAUGCAGUUUGGAGCAUGUGAACAUGCAGUGCAAAAUGGUGCAUUUUGUUUUUGAGUAGUUUAUGUAUAAAAAUUACAGGGACUUUAUUUGAAAGUGUUCAGAAAUUGGGAAA